RNAcentral lists this ribosomal RNA (490 nucleotides) under Fragilaria sp. RCC5541. RNAcentral's name for it is "SSU rRNA". It matches the Rfam family "Eukaryotic small subunit ribosomal RNA", at positions 634 to 1129 of the family's 1831-position model. Lineage: Eukaryota; Bacillariophyta; Fragilariophyceae; Fragilariales; Fragilariaceae. The record is from RNAcentral.
UUGGAUUUGUGGUUGGGUUCGUCGGUCCGGCACAUUGUGCGGGUACUUGAUGGACUCGUCCAUCCUUGGGUGGAAUCUGUGUGGCAUUAAGUUGUCGUGCAGGGGAUGCCCAUCGUUUACUGUGAAAAAAUUAGAGUGUUCAAAGCAGGCUUAUGCCGUUGAAUAUAUUAGCAUGGAAUAAUGAGAUAGGACCUUGGUACUAUUUUGUUGGUUUGCGCACCGAGGUAAUGAUUAAUAGGGACAGUUGGGGGUAUUCGUAUUCCAUUGUCAGAGGUGAAAUUCUUGGAUUUUUGGAAGACGAACUACUGCGAAAGCAUUUACCAAGGAUGUUUUCAUUAAUCAAGAACGAAAGUUAGGGGAUCGAAGAUGAUUAGAUACCAUCGUAGUCUUAACCAUAAACUAUGCCGACAAGGGAUUGGCGGUCGUUGUAUUGACUCCGUCAGCACCUUAUGAGAAAUCACAAGUCUUUGGGUUCCGGGGGGAGUAUGGU